RNAcentral lists this ribosomal RNA (428 nucleotides) under uncultured bacterium. Its description in RNAcentral is "partial 16S ribosomal RNA". It matches the Rfam family "Bacterial small subunit ribosomal RNA", at positions 354 to 796 of the family's 1533-position model. The record is from RNAcentral.
GUCGAGAAUCUUCCGCAAUGCGCGAAAGCGUGACGGAGCGACACCGCGUGAUGGAUGAAGUCCUUCGGGGCGUAAACAUCUUUUAUAAAGGAGGAAAUUUUUGACGUUACUUUAUGAAUAAGGGGCUCCCAAUCUCGUGCCAGCAGGAGCGGUAAUACGAGAGCCUCAAGCGUUAUCCGGAAUCAUUGGGCGUAAAGGGUGCGUAGGUGGUUUGAUUAGUCUCCCGUUAAAACUUCGAGCUUAACUCGAAAAGAGCGGGGGAAACGGUCAAACUAGAGUAUGUGAGAGGUGUGUGGAACUCCUGGUGUAGGGGUGAAAUCCGUUGAUAUCAUGGGGAACACCAAAAGCGAAGGCAGCACACUGGCACAUCACUGACACUGAGGCACGAAACCUAAGGUAGCGAAUGGGAUUAGAUACCCGGGUAGUCC